AACGAACGCUGGCGGCAGGCUUAACACAUGCAAGUCGAGCGAGACCUUCGGGUCUAGCGGCGGACGGGUGAGUAACGCGUGGGAACGUGCCCUUCUCUACGGAAUAGCCCCGGGAAACUGGGAGUAAUACCGUAUACGCCCUUUGGGGGAAAGAUUUAUCGGAGAAGGAUCGGCCCGCGUUGGAUUAGGUAGUUGGUGGGGUAAUGGCCCACCAAGCCGACGAUCCAUAGCUGGUUUGAGAGGAUGAUCAGCCACACUGGGACUGAGACACGGCCCAGACUCCUACGGGAGGCAGCAGUGGGGAAUCUUAGACAAUGGGGGCAACCCUGAUCUAGCCAUGCCGCGUGAGUGAUGAAGGCCUUAGGGUUGUAAAGCUCUUUCAGCUGGGAAGAUAAUGACGGUACCAGCAGAAGAAGCCCCGGCUAACUCCGUGCCAGCCGCCGCCGUAA
Molecule: ribosomal RNA, 449 nt
Filed under: uncultured bacterium
Lineage: Bacteria
Description: partial 16S ribosomal RNA
Rfam family: Bacterial small subunit ribosomal RNA
Source: RNAcentral